UACGGAGGGUGCAAGCGUUGUUCGGAAUUACUGGGCGUAAAGCGCGCGUAGGCGGCUAUUUAAGUCAGAUGUGAAAGUCCACGGCUCAACCGUGGAAGUGCAUUUGAAACUGGAUAGCUUGAGUACUGGAGGGGGUGGUGGAAUUCCCGGUGUAGAGGUGAAAUUCGUAGAUAUCGGGAGGAAUACCGGUGGCGAAGGCGACCACCUGGCCAGAUACUGACGCUGAGGUGCGAAAGCGUGGGGAGCAAACAGG
RNAcentral lists this ribosomal RNA (253 nucleotides) under uncultured prokaryote. Its description in RNAcentral is "partial 16S ribosomal RNA". It matches the Rfam family "Bacterial small subunit ribosomal RNA", at positions 524 to 776 of the family's 1533-position model. The record is from RNAcentral.